RNAcentral lists this transfer RNA (69 nucleotides) under Candidatus Poribacteria bacterium. RNAcentral's name for it is "tRNA-OTHER". Lineage: Bacteria; Candidatus Poribacteria. The record is from RNAcentral.
GGAGUAGCUCAUUUAGGUGAGCAUCUGUCAUAAGUAUGACAGACAGCGGUUCGAUCCCGUUCAGCUCCA